RNAcentral lists this ribosomal RNA (465 nucleotides) under uncultured bacterium. RNAcentral describes it as "partial 16S ribosomal RNA". It matches the Rfam family "Bacterial small subunit ribosomal RNA", at positions 28 to 507 of the family's 1533-position model. The record is from RNAcentral.
GACGAACGCUGGCGGCGUGCUUAACACAUGCAAGUCGAACGGAAAGGCCCUGCUUGCAGGGUACUCGAGUGGCGAACGGGUGAGUAACACGUGGGUGAUCUGCCCUGCACUUCGGGAUAAGCCUGGGAAGCUGGGUCUAAUACCGGAUAGGAGCCAUUUUUAGUGUGAUGGUUGGAAAGUUUUUUCGGUGUAGGAUGAGCUCGCGGCCUAUCAGCUUGUUGGUGGGGUAAUGGCCUACCAAGGCGGCGACGGGUAGCCGGCCUGAGAGGGUGGACGGCCACAUUGGGACUGAGAUACGGCCCAGACUCCUACGGGAGGCAGCAGUGGGGAAUAUUGCACAAUGGGCGCAAGCCUGAUGCAGCGACGCCGCGUGGGGGAUGACGGCCUUCGGGUUGUAAACUCCGUUCGCUAGGGACGAAGCUUUUUGUGACGGUGCCUAGAUAAGAAGCACCGGCUAACUACGUG